This is a long non-coding RNA of Anopheles darlingi, 1145 nucleotides long. RefSeq lists it as uncharacterized. The record is from RefSeq and is a predicted model, not a curated record. NCBI's taxonomy places the organism in Eukaryota, Metazoa, Arthropoda, Insecta, Diptera, Culicidae. The transcript is spliced from 3 exons.
GACACAACUGAAAUUGGACUGAUGUUAGACAAAUCGCCUACACCGUAAAUAUGAAAGUUAGCAGGGAAUGGAGGAUAUCAAUAAUUGACGAUAUCUGUCCAUCCUGUAGCAAAUCUGUCCUCCAAAUACUGUGAACAAAUGAACUAAUGAUAGCGGUUUGGUUAUCAUCAUGUGGCGCAUUCCCGACAACAGUGAAGAAGAACUAAAUAACAAAAAUCGGCAGAAAAGAUACCCAAGUCCACUGGAAAACUUUAUGAGGUCCAAUUUUCAGCGAUCAUCUGCUCAUGAGCUCCGGCACCUAGCGAAUGUGUGAAAAUCCCAUAUAAACCAGCGACAGACCGAGGGGCGAACAAAUGGCUCCAUUGACAAACUCGGCUACGAGCUCGCUCAGCCAACGGAUGUGUCAAAGUUUGACGAUGAUUAGCGCACCUGAGAGUUAAGUUAUUCCUGUCAACAUCAAUAUUAGCUUACAGCUCUCGUGAACAUAAGAAAUCGACAACGACGAGGAAACAACUUCGACCGCAAUCGACGGUUGAUACGACGGCCAUUCAUGCCGCCGAAGUCAUUGGUUUCUUUGGGGAUUUUAUGUUUAACUUCACUGUGCAGUGGAAUAAGUGGAAAGUACUUGAAAUGCACUCCAUUUGUUAUUGCAUUGUUUCUUUGCGGUGUGAAUCGCCCCAAAUGCAUCUUCCAUUCAUUCGGAACCGGAUUUGCCAUUAUUAGCCGGAAGCCGCCCGGGACAAUCAAAGCAUGGAGCAUUAGAUUGAGUUGGUCUUUUGACAACAUUGUCGCUACAUAAUCAAUGCACUUCAUGCCUAUCAACCGGCAGGAGAAUGGAAACUUUCUCUGAUCGUCCACGCCGCAUUACACCGAUUAUUAAUGAUCAUUCACGGCUGUGUUAAAGGUACCAAAUACAUGCGACACAGUUGCUACAUGCUUCUUGAAUAAAUUCAUGGCUUUGAUGAUAUGAGCCUAGUCUGCAGCCCUCUUUUACUUUACAACAAUACCCUUUUACAACAAUCUAUUUUUCUAUUUCGUAAAAUCGAAAGAGAGAAAAAAGAGAUGAAGAGAUCUGUACAGGACAAAUAAUGAAAAAAAUCAUGGCAAUCAUGCUGGAGAAGUGGCGUUCAAAAUCCAUGUUUUUG